AACAAAUUAGUGCAACUUACUGUCUUAUUUAGUUUACUGCAUUUACCAGGUCAAAAUAAUUACUAGGUGAGGUUUGUUCACCUUAUAAAGUGGCCCGGAAGUUAGUAAUUUUAGGAGUAAGUUAGGUGAAAUAAAAUAUUAAAUUUAGGAGUUAUAUUUGUAGUAGGAGUCUAUAUAUACAAAGUAAAGUUGCUCUGUUUUCUCUUGUAAUUUUAGUCGCCAUAUUUUCUAUUCAAGAAAAAGCUUUCGGCUGUUUUAUUUUCCUUUACUGUUCUUGUUCUAUAACUUCUCCUGCUCAAUACUUUUAUUAUAUGGUAUCAGAGCAAGGUUGAAGGGAGGAAUUCUUUUUUCUUUUCUAUCUUCUUGUCUAUCAGUUUACUCUGUUGGAGAAGUUUGAAAAGUAUGAAGAGAAAGCUUUUGUCGUUCGUAGCAAUGGAGGCCUCAAAUGGGGGAAAUACUCAAUAUGGAAUAGAAAAACUUGUAGGCACUAACUACAAGUAUUGGAGAAUGUGUAUAGAAGCAUACCUUCAAGGUCAGGAUCUGUGGGAUUUAAUUGUAGGAAUUGAUUCAAUAAUCCCAGCCAAUACUCCUGAGAAUGCCGAAUCGCGAAGAAAAUGGAAGAUCAAGUGCGAAAAAACACUCUUUGCUUUGAGGACUUCUAUCAGCAAGGAGUUUAUUGAUCAUGUUCUUGAUAUUGUCUCUCUAAAAGAAGUUUGGGACAUGCUUGAAAGGCUGUUUACCAAAAAAAUACAUCAAGGUUGCAACUAUUGAGAAUGAGUUGGCAAUGUUACAACUGGGAGGUAUGUCUAUCUCAGAUUACUUUUUUUGAGUUAAAAGUAUUUGUGCUAAAAUUUCAGAGAUUGAUCUGGAAGAAAAGAUUAGUGAGUCGUGCCUAUGAUGCUAUCUUAUUCAUGGAUUGAAAAAGGAGUACGGUCCUUUUGUCACUUCUAUUCAAGGAUGGCCGUAACAACCAUCUGUUGAGGAAUUGGAGGACAUGCUUUCUAAUCAAGAAGUUUUAGCUAACCAAAUGGCUAAGAAUCUUUUAACUGAUGAUGUUCUAUUUUUUAAAGAGAAGCCAAACAAGAAGAAUACAUCAACUUGGAACAAAAAUAAAGAAGAAGAAACAACCACAGAAAAAGGUGGAAAUUCACAUAAUAACAAAAAGUGCUACAGAUGUGGGAAAAUUGGACACAUUAAGAAAAACAGUCGAGUAAAGCUUUCUAAAGCCAAUAUUGCGUGCACCAAUGACGGAAUGAGCAAAUGAAAUGGGAAUAAUGUUUUAGCAUCGAAGCUGUUGAACAAAAGUCUGCAUAAGAUUUUCUCAAUUAUGCUAACAACAAUAUGAGGGAAGAAUGGAUUAUUGAUUCAGGAUGCUCUCAUCAUGUCACUGGAGAUGAUUCUUUAUUCUCGAAGAUGUGAGAACAUCAUGGAGAUCAAGUCAUUAUCACAGAAGAUAAGUCAACAUAUCCAGUAGCAAAAGAAGGAGUUUUGACGAUUGAGGUUGCUGAUGAUAAAUCUAAAAGUAUCAAGUUGCAGGACAUUUAUCAUGUUCCAAGGUUUAAAGAAAAAUCUUAUCUCUGUUUCUCAAAUUACUGAUUUUGGAAAAUAUGUAUUGUUUGGUCCUGCUGAUGUGAAGGUGCUUGAAAAUGUAAAAGAAAUAUCUGCUGAUAUUAUUUUUACUGGCAAGAAGAAAGGCUCAUUUUUUAAUAUGUCAACAGGUGAAGCUUAUGUAAAGAAAACAAGCCAAACUGAUAGUGCCGCAAUUUGGCACGCUUGGUUGGGUCAUGUGGGCUACCAAAUGUUGCAGCAGAUUUCUUCUAGAAAGUUGGUAGAUGGCAUGCCAACUUUGAAGAAUGUACGCGAAGACAUGAUUUGUCAAGGCUGCUAAUAUGGAAAAUCUCAUCGUCUUCCUUUCAAAAGGUCAUCAAAUUGGAGAAAUGUGCUGCUUGAAUUAGUUCAUACAGACUUGAUGGGACCAACAAGAACACCAAGUUAUAGUGGAAUCGCUAUGUUAUGGUGUUGGUGGAUGAUCACUCUAGGUUCACUUGGGUGAAAUUUUUUAGAGAGAAGAGCAAAGCAUUAUCCAAGUUUGUGGAGUUCAAAAAUGUUGUUGCAAAUGAGUUCGGGAAGAAGAUAAAAUGUCUUCGUAGUGAUAAUGGUGGGGAAUAUAUGUCAUAUGACUUCUUCCAGUACUGUCAUGACAACAGAAUUCUUCGUCAAAUGACUUGUCCAGAUACUCCUCAACAGAAUGGAGUUACGGAAAGAAAGCUUGUUUAUCUUACUUCAGUUUGUCUUUCAUGGCUGCAUGACAAGAAUCUUCCUCGAGAGCUUUGGGCAGAAGCUAUUCAAUGUGGAUGCCACGUGACAAAUAGGCUGCCUCAUUGGCCAGGUACACAGAAAUCGCCUUUUGAACUUUUAUAUAGUCAGAAGCCAAAUGUGAACUAUUUUCGGGUUUUUGGUUCUACUUGUUAUGUUCAUGUUCCCAGAACUAACAGAACAAAACUUGAUCCGAAAGCAAGAAAAUGUGUAUUUGUUGGUUAUGAUUAUUAUAGGAAGGGCUGGAGAUGCAUGGAUCCAAAGACAAACAGGUUUACCAUUCUAGAGAUGUGGUAUUUGAUGAAAUGUCAUCUUUGUUUUCUUCUCAAAAGCUUAUUGUUCUGGGUGAUGAUCAAGAUAAUAUGGAGUUAUUAUUUCCUAAAGUAAAUGUGUUAUCACCUUGUAGUGAAGAGGGAGAAAAUGUAUCGCCAAAUCAGAAUAUUUCAGAAGUUGCAUCUCUAAGUCAGAACAUUUCAAGGUAAGGAAAUGGUGAACAACAAGUAACAAGAAGGUCAACAAGGGAGAAAAAGCAACCGGACUACCUCAAAGAUUAUGAGGUCAAACUUAAAAGUUAUUUUGUGACCUCGUGUUUCUUUACAAGAGCACUAACUACGGAAGAACCAUUAAGUUAUGAAGAAGCAAAGGGCCGUCCACAUUGGGAAAGAGAGAUGNNNNNNNNNNNNNNNNNNNNACAAGAAUGAAACUUGGGAAUUGGUACCCAAACCAGAAAAAUGCAAUCCAGUCACUUGCAAAUGGGUAUUUCGAUUGAAAAAAAAAUCUGAUAGUACCAUUGAUAGGUUUAAAGCUCGUCUAGUUGCUCGUGGUUUUUCUCAAAACUAUGGAUUGGAUUAUGAGGAGAUGUUUAGUUCGGUAGCGAAGAUGGUAAUAGUAAGAUCACUUAUUUCGCUAGCUAUUUUCAAAAGUUGAAAACUGUGGCAGCUUGAUGUAAAGAAUGCAUUUCUUUAUGGAGAGUUGGAUCGAGUAGUAUUUAUUUUGCAACCUCAUGACUUUGUCUCUAAGCAGUUUCCAAGUCAUAUUUGUCGUUUGAAGAAAGCUCUAUAUGAGCUCAUGCAAGCACCAUGAGCUUGGUAUGGUAAAGUUGCUCAAUACCUUAUCUUUUGUGGUUUUAGAGUAUCUGAUUCAAAUUUUAGUUUAUUUAUAAAAUUAGAAUCAAAUGCAUAUCUCCUGAUAUUGUUAUACGUUGAUGAUAUGAUAAUAACUGAAAAUAAUGAAUUAGCAAUUUCUAAUCUAAGAAAAGAUUUGUCUGUUCGUUUUGAGAUGAAAAUUUUAGGGUAAACUAGAUAUUUUCUUGGUUUGGAAGUGGAAAAAUCAGAUCGAGGCUACUUUGUUUCUCAGAAAGGUUAUGUGGAGAGUCUCUUAGAAUUUUUCAUCAUGGGGGAGUCGAAAGAAAAUUCUACUCUAAUGGAUCCAAAUCUCAAGUUGAAGAAGAAUGAAAGCGAGGCUUUGAAGGAUGCGAUAAAGUUCCGACAACUAGUUAGAAGUUUGAUUUAUCUGACUAUCACAAGGCCAGAAAUAUCUUACUCUGUUAGUGUCAUUUCUCAAUUUAUGCAAAAUCCAACAACUUCUCACUUAAAUGCCGCAAAGAGGAUUUUGCGCUAUGUGAAAGGAUCUCUUAGUCAUGGACUUUGGUACAAGAGGUGUGAUACUUUUUUAUUGAGUGGAUUUAAUGAUGCAAAUUGGGCAGAUGAUACACAUGAUCGUCGCUCGACUUCAGGUUACUGUUUUAGUACCGGGUCAGCAGUGGUGUCUUGGUGCAGCAAGAAGCAAGAUGUUGUUUCUUUGUCUACCACUGAAGUUGAAUAUAUUGCAGUAACCAUGGCUGCACAAGAGUGCAUUUGGUUGAAAAGGCUAAUCAAUGAUAUGUACCAGAAAGUAGACUAUGCUGGGCAAAUCAAGUGUGACAAUGGAAGUGUCAUCAAACUUGCGUCAAAUCCAGUUUUUCAUGCUCGAACGAAGCAUAUUGAGAUCCGCCAUCACUUUGUUCGUGAGAAAGUCUUAAGUGAAGAGAUUGAAUUGACAACUGUUUGCACCAACGCUCAAGUUGCGGAUAUAUUCACUAAAGCUUUGGAGAAGUCUAAGUUUCAAUACUUUCGAGAUGCUCUGGGAGUAGGUCAUCGUGAGCUUGCACUAAGGGGGAGUGUAACAAAUUAGUGCAACUUAUUAUCUUAUUUAGUUUACUGCAUUUACCAGGUCAAAAUAAUUACUAGGUGAGGUUUGUUCACCUUAUAAAGUGGCCUGGAAGUUAGUAAUUUUAGGAGUAAGUUAGGUGGAAUAAAACGUUAAAUUUAGGAGUUAUAUUUGUAGUAGGAGUCUAUAUAUACAGAGUAAAGUUGCUCUGUUUUCUCUUGUAAUUUC
This 4692-nucleotide long non-coding RNA is filed under the name Capsicum annuum. Its description in RNAcentral is "long non-coding RNA (CANN_LNC011451)". Lineage: Eukaryota; Viridiplantae; Streptophyta; Magnoliopsida; Solanales; Solanaceae. The record is from RNAcentral.